CCUACGUUUUGUGAACUGUUUUGACUAUCAUAGUCAGUGUCUGGUGUGCUGUAACGGCCAUCGAUGCUGACUACACUGAAUGUAUAUUUAAACUGACUGAGAGUACUAUACUUAUAGUAACCAAUGAGAACUUUUAGCAACGGAUCUCUUGGCUCUCGCAACGAUGAAGAACGCAGCGAAAUGCGAUAGGUAGUGUGAAUUGCAGAUACCGUGAAUCAUCAAAUCUUUGAACGCACAUUGCACUGUCUGGAACUCCGGGCAGUAUACCUGUUUGAGUAUCAGCUACUCCUCUCACUAUCAGUACCUUGGUAGCCUAGUGAGGACUUGAGUCAUCAUGGACUAUCCUCGGAUAGCCUGUGCGACUUUAAAUAGCAGUACCAGCGUCCCUAGGAUCGCUGUUAUCUUGCAGAGUUGAUGGCCUUGUGCCUAAUCCUGUUAGGGUAACAGAUCGUAUACCUAGUGGUUAAACGUAGCUGGCUUACCAAACCAUACAGUGAUCAGUAGUUAACUGAUUGACUGUGACUUUGAUCUCAAAUCAGGUAAGAUUACCCGCUGAACUUAAGCAUAUCAAUAAGCGGAGGAA
This 583-nucleotide unclassified non-coding RNA is filed under the name uncultured eukaryote. RNAcentral describes it as "partial contains fungal ITS1, 5.8S rRNA and ITS2". The stretch from base 129 to 281 matches the Rfam family "5.8S ribosomal RNA". The record is from RNAcentral.